RNAcentral lists this long non-coding RNA (1003 nucleotides) under Cricetulus griseus (Chinese hamster). RNAcentral describes it as "lncRNA (ENSCGRG00015040503.1)". Lineage: Eukaryota; Metazoa; Chordata; Mammalia; Rodentia; Cricetidae. The record is from RNAcentral.
ACACAUGCCGCUGGCCUCGGGUCAUCUCCCUGAGAAAAUUGCACAACCACACUUUUGUCCCUAGGGACUGCCGGGUUAGGUCGGAACUGGCUCUGCUUCCACUCGUGGGCUUUGCCUCUGCGUGGAGCCAAGGUCGAAGAGGGUCCCCGCAUCCUUCUGCAAGGCAGACUCGGACAGACAGAUGGACACGCAGGAGCGAGGACGCCCUGAGCCCGCCCCUUAGUGUUCCUUUAAUCCGGGCAAGGGAAACUGGAAUCGCCGGCACCGCUGGCUGGCAAAGGAGCAGUGCUUGAGCCCCAACCAUGGCAAAGUUGCUCAGAGGGCUCCAGUGAAUGGCGGACGGCAGAUGAGCGCCAUUCCCACUGGAUUCUAGAUGAACAGAGCAGAAUCUACUAGCUGUGGGGGCUGAAGCAGAAGUGCCAUGAAUUUCACCAGCUGGGACUACACAGUGAGAACCUGGUUUCGUUUGUUUUCUGUUUGUUUACAAACAAACAAAAACAACAGAAGAGGAAACACACCAACAACAGAGUCCGCUGAACUCUAUUCUAAUGUCUCACCGUGUAUCCCUGGCUGGAUACUUGCUAUGGACUACAGUGGCUUCAAACUCACAGGAAUCCUCAUGCCUCUGUCUCUGCAGUACUGGGAUUAAAGGCAUGCAACACCACACCCUGCCAAGACAGCUAUAUUUUCAGAUUGCUCCAGUGUUUAUUCCUUACUGUGAUCUCCAAAUACUCGGGGUAUGUCUGAAGUCUUGAAGAUCAGACGUCUUCAUCCGGUAAGCAUUAGGAAAGAGAUUGGUGUUUAACAGAAUAGAGCAGAAUGUAACAAAUUAAGCAGCACCAUCUACGGUCCAGGCUUUUUUACCGUUGUCCUGUUUGUGGACCUCUGGGGUGUUGAGCAUGCUGCGUGUUGGGCGAAAUGGGAACUGCACUGGCGGAAGUGGAUGCCUCUGACACUGCUAAUUAAGGAAUGUGGAACCCUUCCUUUCUGAGUCAGCACCGAG